GAGUUUGAUCUUGGCUCAGAUUGAACGCUGGCGGCAGGCCUAACACAUGCAAGUCGAGCGGAUGACGGGAGCUUGCUCCUUGAUUCAGCGGCGGACGGGUGAGUAAUGCCUAGGAAUCUGCCUGGUAGUGGGGGACAACGUUUCGAAAGGAACGCUAAUACCGCAUACGUCCUACGGGAGAAAGCAGGGGACCUUCGGGCCUUGCGCUAUCAGAUGAGCCUAGGUCGGAUUAGCUAGUUGGUGGGGUAAAGGCUCACCAAGGCGACGAUCCGUAACUGGUCUGAGAGGAUGAUCAGUCACACUGGAACUGAGACACGGUCCAGACUCCUACGGGAGGCAGCA
Molecule: ribosomal RNA, 342 nt
Filed under: uncultured Pseudomonas sp.
Lineage: Bacteria; Pseudomonadati; Pseudomonadota; Gammaproteobacteria; Pseudomonadales; Pseudomonadaceae
Description: bacterial SSU rRNA
Rfam family: Bacterial small subunit ribosomal RNA
Source: RNAcentral